Molecule: microRNA precursor, 89 nt
Filed under: Oryzias latipes (Japanese medaka)
Lineage: Eukaryota; Metazoa; Chordata; Actinopteri; Beloniformes; Adrianichthyidae
Description: microRNA mir-199a-4 (ENSORLG00020010705.1)
Rfam family: mir-199 microRNA precursor family (bases 5-84)
About the family: This family consists of the microRNA (miRNA) precursor mir-199 which appears to be specific to humans.
Source: RNAcentral
UCCGGCUCCGUCCACCCAGUGUUCAGACUACCUGUUCAUUGUCAUACUGGUGUACAGUAGUCUGCACAUUGGUUAGACUGGGCCGGGCU